GAUGAACGCUGGCGGCGUGCCUAAUACAUGCAAGUCGAGCGAACAGACGAGGAGCUUGCUCCUCUGACGUUAGCGGCGGACGGGUGAGUAACACGUGGAUAACCUACCUAUAAGACUGGGAUAACUUCGGGAAACCGGAGCUAAUACCGGAUAACAUGUUGAACCGCAUGGUUCAACAGUGAAAGACGGUCUUGCUGUCACUUAUAGAUGGAUCCGCGCCGCAUUAGCUAGUUGGUAAGGUAACGGCUUACCAAGGCAACGAUGCGUAGCCGACCUGAGAGGGUGAUCGGCCACACUGGAACUGAGACACGGUCCAGACUCCUACGGGAGGCAGCAGUAGGGAAUCUUCCGCAAUGGGUGAAAGCCUGACGGAGCAACGCCGCGUGAGUGAAGAAGGUCUUCGGAUCGUAAAACUCUGUUAUUAGGGAAGAACAAAUGUGUAAGUAACUAUGCACGUCUUGACGGUACCUAAUCAGAAAGCCACGGCUAACUACGUG
RNAcentral lists this ribosomal RNA (497 nucleotides) under uncultured bacterium. RNAcentral's name for it is "partial 16S ribosomal RNA". It matches the Rfam family "Bacterial small subunit ribosomal RNA", at positions 28 to 507 of the family's 1533-position model. The record is from RNAcentral.